AUGAACGCUGGCGGCGUGCCUCAUACAUGCAAGUCGAGCGAACAGACGAGGAGCUUGCUCCUCUGACGUUAGCGGCGGACGGGUGAGUAACACGUGGAUAACCUACCUAUAAGACUGGGAUAACUUCGGGAAACCGGAGCUAAUACCGGAUAAUAUAUUGAACCGCAUGGUUCAAUAGUGAAAGACGGUUUUGCUGUCACUUAUAGAUGGAUCCGCGCCGCAUUAGCUAGUUGGUAAGGUAACGGCUUACCAAGGCAACGAUGCGUAGCCGACCUGAGAGGGUGAUCGGCCACACUGGAACUGAGACACGGUCCAGACUCCUACGGGAGGCAGCAGUAGGGAAUCUUCCGCAAUGGGCGAAAGCUUGACGGAGCAACGCCGCGUGAGUGAUGAAGGUCUUCGGAUCGUAAAACGCUGUUAUUAGGGAAGAACAAAUGUGUAAGUAACUAUGCACGUCUGGACGGUACCUAAUCAGAAAGCCACGGCUAACUACGU
RNAcentral lists this ribosomal RNA (495 nucleotides) under uncultured bacterium. Its description in RNAcentral is "partial 16S ribosomal RNA". It matches the Rfam family "Bacterial small subunit ribosomal RNA", at positions 29 to 506 of the family's 1533-position model. The record is from RNAcentral.